CUUCUUCUUCUUCCUCUUUUUUUUUUUGCUCUUUUUUUUGGGUUCUUUGUUGGGUUUUUUUUCGUUUCAGUUUUUUUUGUGGCUAGGCUCUUCUGCUGGUAGAUCUAGCAUUUUUUGUUUUUGUUUUUGUUCUUCUUUUUUGUGUUUGUCCUCCUUUUUUGCAGGUGCCCUUUUAAAGAGCCGGGUUGUCCAAAAAUUUGGACAACCCGGCGAGGGGGUUCUGGCACCAGGGAGUUGGUGGCCAGAACCCCUGGUGCGUGGUGGUUGGGAACUUGAUGGGAAGGGAUGGUGAAGGAAUGGUGAGGGGAUGGGGAAGGGAUGGCUGGGCGUAUGCCCAGCCAUCCCCUUUUUU
RNAcentral lists this long non-coding RNA (352 nucleotides) under Theobroma cacao (cacao). Its description in RNAcentral is "long non-coding RNA (TCAC_LNC000811)". The record is from RNAcentral. Lineage: Eukaryota; Viridiplantae; Streptophyta; Magnoliopsida; Malvales; Malvaceae.